ACAGCAGCAGCAGCAGCAGCAGCAGCAGCACUGUGGCUCAGCUCCUAACUUGGCAGAUCCCAGUGAGGCGGAACAAGCUCUACCAGGGAGAAAUGCGACUGCACAGGACAUCCAGCAUCUAGGCCGGCGAUUGGUAUUCUGCAGCAGCUGCCUCACAGAGCCUGGAGAGCUCCAGCAAGGAUGGGCCGGAACUCCAGCUGCUGAUUAUUCGGGAUUUUUCUGUAGACAAGGGUAUGUCAUCUGCAAAUAGAG
Molecule: non-coding RNA, 252 nt
Organism: Saimiri boliviensis boliviensis (Bolivian squirrel monkey)
Lineage: Eukaryota; Metazoa; Chordata; Mammalia; Primates; Cebidae
Source: RefSeq, a predicted model, not a curated record